CCCUUAGAUGUUCUGGGCUGCACGCGUGUUACAAUCGGGAGUACAACAAGAUUGCAAAUCCUAGUGGAUGAGUGGUUCUUCGAAAUUUUCUGAAGACUGGGAUAGUUGAUUGAAAUUAUUCAACUCAAACGAGGAAUUCCUUGUAAUUGUAAUUCAUUAUAUUGUAAUGAAUACGUCCCUGCCCUUUGCACACACCGCCCGUCGCUCCUACCGAUUGAACGAUCCGGUGAAUUAUUUGGAGUAGCUCUGGAAGUUGCAGAACUUCCUAUGUCACGAAAUUUUGUAAACCUUAUCGUUUAGAGGAAGGAAAAGUCGUAACA
RNAcentral lists this ribosomal RNA (320 nucleotides) under uncultured eukaryote. Its description in RNAcentral is "partial 18S ribosomal RNA". It matches the Rfam family "Eukaryotic small subunit ribosomal RNA", at positions 1470 to 1796 of the family's 1831-position model. The record is from RNAcentral.